Molecule: ribosomal RNA, 486 nt
Filed under: uncultured bacterium
Lineage: Bacteria
Description: partial 16S ribosomal RNA
Rfam family: Bacterial small subunit ribosomal RNA
Source: RNAcentral
AUUGAACGCUGGCGGCAUGCCUUACACAUGCAAGUCGAACGGCAGCACGGGUGCUUGCACCUGGUGGCGAGUGGCGAACGGGUGAGUAAUACAUCGGAACAUGUCCUGUAGUGGGGGAUAGCCCGGCGAAAGCCGGAUUAAUACCGCAUACGAUCUACGGAUGAAAGCGGGGGACCUUCGGGCCUCGCGCUAUAGGGUUGGCCGAUGGCUGAUUAGCUAGUUGGUGGGGUAAAGGCCUACCAAGGCGACGAUCAGCAGCUGGUCUGAGAGGACGACCAGCCACACUGGGACUGAGACACGGCCCAGACUCCUACGGGAGGCAGCAGUGGGGAAUUUUGGACAAUGGGCGAAAGCCUGAUCCAGCAAUGCCGCGUGUGUGAAGAAGGCCUUCGGGUUGUAAAGCACUUUUGUCCGGAAAGAAAUACUUGGCCCUAAUACGGUCGGGGGAUGACGGUACCGGAAGAAUAAGCACCGGCUAACUACGUG